This 467-nucleotide ribosomal RNA is filed under the name Veillonella parvula. RNAcentral describes it as "bacterial SSU rRNA". It matches the Rfam family "Bacterial small subunit ribosomal RNA", at positions 28 to 472 of the family's 1533-position model. Lineage: Bacteria; Bacillati; Bacillota; Negativicutes; Veillonellales; Veillonellaceae. The record is from RNAcentral.
GACGAACGCUGGCGGCGUGCUUAACACAUGCAAGUCGAACGAAGAGCGAUGGAAGCUUGCUUCUAUCAAUCUUAGUAGCGAACGGGUGAGUAACGCGUAAUCAACCUGCCCUUCAGAGGGGGACAACAGCUGGAAACGACUGCUAAUACCGCAUACGAUCUAACCUCGGCAUCGAGGAUGGAUGAAAGGUGGCCUCUAUUUAUAAGCUAUCACUGAAGGAGGGGAUUGCGUCUGAUUAGCUAGUUGGAGGGGUAACGGCCCACCAAGGCGAUGAUCAGUAGCCGGUCUGAGAGGAUGAACGGCCACAUUGGGACUGAGACACGGCCCAGACUCCUACGGGAGGCAGCAGUGGGGAAUCUUCCGCAAUGGACGAAAGUCUGACGGAGCAACGCCGCGUGAGUGAUGACGGCCUUCGGGUUGUAAAGCUCUGUUAAUCGGGACGAAAGGCCUUCUUGCGAACAGUUAGA